Molecule: ribosomal RNA, 253 nt
Filed under: uncultured bacterium
Lineage: Bacteria
Description: partial 16S ribosomal RNA
Rfam family: Archaeal small subunit ribosomal RNA
Source: RNAcentral
UACCAGCACCCCGAGUGGUCGGGACGUUUAUUGGGCCUGAAGCAUCCGUAGCCGGUUCUACAAGUCUUCCGUUAAAUCCACCUGCUUAACAGAUGGGCUGCGGAAGAUACUAUAGAGCUAGGAGGCGGGAGAGGCAAGCGGUACUCGAUGGGUAGGGGUAAAAUCCGUUGAUCCAUUGAAGACCACCAGUGGCGAAGGCGGCUUGCCAGAACGCGCUCGACGGUGAGGGAUGAAAGCUGGGGGAGCAAACCGG